ACGGAAGGCAGCAGUGAGGAAUAUUGGUCAAUGGGCGCGAGCCUGAACCAGCCAAGUAGCGUGAGGGAUGACUGCCCUACGGGUUGUAAACCUCUUUUGUUUGGGAAUAAAGGAGCCUACGUGUAGGCUUUUGCAUGUACCUUUCGAAUAAGCAUCGGCUAAUUCCGUGCCAGCAGCCGCGGUAAUACGGAAGAUGCGAGCGUUAUCCGGAUUUAUUGGGUUUAAAGGGAGCGUAGGCGGCCUUUUAAGUCUGCGGUCAAAUGUCAGGGCCCAACCUUGGCAUGCCGUGGAUACUGAUGGGCUUGAAUACACGCAAGGCAAGUGGAAUUCGUCGUGUAGCGGUGAAAUGCUUAGAUAUGACGAAGAACUCCGAUUGCGAAGGCAGCUUGCUGGUGUGCGAUUGACGCUGAGGCUCGAAAGUGCGGGAAUCAAACAGGAUUAGAUACCCUGGUA
Molecule: ribosomal RNA, 453 nt
Filed under: uncultured Paraprevotella sp.
Lineage: Bacteria; Pseudomonadati; Bacteroidota; Bacteroidia; Bacteroidales; Prevotellaceae
Description: bacterial SSU rRNA
Rfam family: Bacterial small subunit ribosomal RNA
Source: RNAcentral